GGUAGCAUGGCUGAGUGGUCUAAGGCGCUGGUUUAAGGCACCAGUCUCUUUGGAGGCAUGGGUUCGAAUCCCACUGCUGCUG
RNAcentral lists this transfer RNA (82 nucleotides) under Cordylochernes scorpioides. RNAcentral describes it as "tRNA-Leu". It matches the Rfam family "tRNA". Rfam says of the family: Transfer RNA (tRNA) molecules are approximately 80 nucleotides in length. Their secondary structure includes four short double-helical elements and three loops (D, anti-codon, and T loops). The record is from RNAcentral. Lineage: Eukaryota; Metazoa; Arthropoda; Arachnida; Pseudoscorpiones; Chernetidae.